UCUAGUUUGAUCCUGGCUCAGGUAGAGAAAUGCCGCCAGCACGACGACCAGCACGAACAAAAGUAGUAACAAGGUAACAGUGGAGCUUGAUCAUGUAUCAGGAAGUCGUAACAAGGUAGCCGUAAGUCGUAACAAGGUAACAGAAAGUGGAGACAAGGUAGCAAGAA
This 167-nucleotide ribosomal RNA is filed under the name uncultured bacterium. RNAcentral's name for it is "partial 16S ribosomal RNA". The record is from RNAcentral.